AGCAGUGGCCGGUGACAGUUCACAUCGUGGCCGCUCCAGGCUCAUCAGUUGAGAACUUACUAUGUGCUGGGCACUGUGUUAAGGAAAAUACAUAUUAGCAAACUCUUUCAACCAGCCAGUGUUGCGCUAAAGCUGCUGCUUGCCUCUUCCUUUUCAUGCUACCAAAGCGGAGUUCAGCACAACAGAAACAGAUGGACAGAAAGUUUCAGAAGACAUGGGAUUUUAAAAACCACCGAUCUGUUAGGAAACAGCCUUGUUUCCUCAUUUCCACGGAACAAUACUGUUCUGCAGGAUGACCAAGUGAACACUGCAAUUACUGGGAGGUUUUAUAGACACCAUAAAAUUGUAAAACUGCAGAGGUGAUUUCAGUAAUUUAUUGCUGGCUUCUUCAGCUCCCAGACCAAGUUGUAUACAGACAUGAAGGUAAGCUUUCUUCAAUCCUGUGGACAAUGGCAACACCUCAGGAGAUGGUGAAGAAAUAAGAUGGUAGGACCUUGAGUCCCUGAAUGACUGUGUGGAGCAGCACUGCCCUUCCAGUUCUGUACACUCACCUCAGGACUACUUCAGGAGGGAAAUACAAACUCUAAUUGAAGGCAUUCUCUUUUCAUUGUCUCU
RNAcentral lists this long non-coding RNA (615 nucleotides) under Homo sapiens (human). RNAcentral's name for it is "HSALNT0321067". The record is from RNAcentral. Lineage: Eukaryota; Metazoa; Chordata; Mammalia; Primates; Hominidae.